CCUCCUUAAACGAAGCCGAAUGCUUCGGUCAGAGUCCACACGAAUUACUUGGUUGAUUAAUAAAGAGAGCAGAUGGGUCUAUCAGGCCCGUACCAUUGGGUCUGUAGCUCAGGUGGUUAGAGCGCACCCCUGAUAAGGGUGAGGUCGGUGGUUCAAGUCCACCCAGACCCACCAAAAUUGCUCAACUCCUGGAGUUGGACAAUUUGAGGUAGCUUAAAUGGGGCUAUAGCUCAGCUGGGAGAGCGCCUGCCUUGCACGCAGGAGGUCGGCAGUUCGAUCCUGCCUAGCUCCACCAAUAUUACUGACGCGCCGUUGGGGCGGUUAGUGUACAGAAACAAGCAUUUCGUUUUUAUGACAUCGGUUGUUAAGCGAAGUUCUUCUUUCUGAUCACUGGGUCAAAUUUGCUCUUUAACAAAUUG
This 419-nucleotide unclassified non-coding RNA is filed under the name uncultured Marinobacter sp. RNAcentral describes it as "partial 16S-23S ribosomal RNA intergenic spacer". The stretch from base 98 to 171 matches the Rfam family "tRNA". The record is from RNAcentral. Lineage: Bacteria; Pseudomonadati; Pseudomonadota; Gammaproteobacteria; Pseudomonadales; Marinobacteraceae.